GGAAAGAUGGCAGAGAGGUUGAAUGCACCGGUUUUGAAAACCGGCUUAGUGAAGACUAACGGGGGUUCGAAUCCCUCUCUUUCCG
RNAcentral lists this transfer RNA (85 nucleotides) under Ostreobium quekettii. RNAcentral's name for it is "tRNA-Ser". It matches the Rfam family "tRNA". From Rfam's summary of the family: Transfer RNA (tRNA) molecules are approximately 80 nucleotides in length. Their secondary structure includes four short double-helical elements and three loops (D, anti-codon, and T loops). Further hydrogen bonds mediate the characteristic L-shaped molecular structure. tRNAs have two regions of fundamental functional importance: the anti-codon, which is responsible for specific mRNA codon recognition, and the 3' end, to which the tRNAs corresponding amino acid is attached (by aminoacyl-tRNA synthetases). tRNAs cope with the degeneracy of the genetic code in two manners: having more than one tRNA (with a specific anti-codon) for a particular amino acid; and 'wobble' base-pairing, i.e. permitting non-standard base-pairing at the 3rd anti-codon position. RNAcentral also lists the same sequence under 2 other names. The record is from RNAcentral. Lineage: Eukaryota; Viridiplantae; Chlorophyta; Ulvophyceae; Bryopsidales; Ostreobiaceae.